Molecule: ribosomal RNA, 372 nt
Filed under: uncultured organism
Description: partial 16S ribosomal RNA
Rfam family: Bacterial small subunit ribosomal RNA
Source: RNAcentral
GUACCGCACAAACGUUAUUCGGAAUCACUGGGCUUAAAGGGUGCGUAGGCGGCUUGGAAGGUGGGGUGUGAAAUCCCUCGGCUCAACCGAGGAACUGCGCUCCAAACCGCCAGGCUUGAGGGAGGCAGGGGUGAGCGGAACUGAUGGUGGAGCGGUGAAAUGCGUUGAUAUCAUCAGGAACACCAGUGGCGAAGGCGGCUCACUGGGCCUCUUCUGACGCUGAGGCACGAAAGCUAGGGGUAGCGAACGGGAUUAGAUACCCCGGUAGUCCUAGCUGUAAACGAUGAGCACUGGAUCGAGGGGGCCUCCACCACCCUCUCGGUCGUAGCGAAAGUGUUAAGUGCUCCGCCUGGGAGUAUGGUCGCAAGGCUG